GGCUGGCCUGAUGGGCCACACCGCAGGCCACACCCAAAGAGCUGCUCCUGGGGCAGAGAGCGCCUCUGAGCAGGAAAUGACAGAGGAAGUUUUGGGUGCAGCUUUACCGAUAAGGACCCGUGAAACAAACAACGCCGUGUGAUACCGAUCAGCAAACAUUUCAGCCAAGCAGCGUGGAAGGAAGACUGCAGGCAAAAUGGCGGAAAGAAAAAGAUAAAGUAGGUAGCUCCUUACGAAGUGUAAUAACAGGAACAAGAAAACUGGACUUGGCAGCCUUUUGUUCUAUUUGUCAGCGACUCUACAAUUUUUUGGCUGAGAGAACAUGGAAAACUGGAGAUUUUUCCUCCACUGUUACAACGCCCUGCUUGCUAAGCCACGUGAUAAGAAACAAGGAAGCGCAUAUUGCUAUCAAGCCAAAACAGAACCUUCAUGAAGAAGCUUCAGGAAGCACUACUGUGUUAAAUACACUUACUAAUAUCAGAAGGGCUUUAAUAACAGAAGACAGUUGGGAGAGGCAGAGCAACACGGCCAAAUAGGAGGGGAGCAUCACACACUGGGGUCUGUUGUGGGAGCCUAGGGGAGGGACAGCAGGGGUGGGGAGGUUGGGGAGGGAUAACAUGGGGAGAAAUGCCAGAUAUAGGUGAUGGGGGGAUGGAGGCAGCAAACCACAUUGCCAUGUAUGUACCUACGCAUCACUCUGCAUGUUCUGCACAUGGACCCAAACCUAAAGUACAAAAUAUAUAUAUAUAUUAAAAAAAAACCACUUUCCUAAGAUCCAAAACUCAGGUGAGUGACCACAGGACCUGUUGGAGUUCGCAUCACUGAAAGAGGCCCUGAGGAGGGUAGGAAGGACAGUCUUGAUCACCCUCCCCCAACACCCCCGAAACUCCAGCAGCAGCCGUGUGGUGCAGAGAGAGAAUCUGUGCACUUGGAGGAGGGCGGGCACGGUGACCGUGGGGCUUUGUGUGGGAACUCAGUGCUGCUGCCCUGUCGCAGCAGAAAGCAACAUGGGGCAGAACUCAGCGGCGCCCAUAGAGGGAGGGUUUAGACCAGCCCUAGCCGGAGAA
This 1067-nucleotide long non-coding RNA is filed under the name Callithrix jacchus (white-tufted-ear marmoset). Its description in RNAcentral is "lncRNA (ENSCJAG00000073478.1)". The record is from RNAcentral. Lineage: Eukaryota; Metazoa; Chordata; Mammalia; Primates; Cebidae.